Cricetulus griseus (Chinese hamster) is the source of this 142-nucleotide small nuclear RNA. Its record names the gene U1. It matches the Rfam family "U1 spliceosomal RNA". Rfam says of the family: U1 is a small nuclear RNA (snRNA) component of the spliceosome (involved in pre-mRNA splicing). Its 5' end forms complementary base pairs with the 5' splice junction, thus defining the 5' donor site of an intron. There are significant differences in sequence and secondary structure between metazoan and yeast U1 snRNAs, the latter being much longer (568 nucleotides as compared to 164 nucleotides in human). The record is from Ensembl. NCBI's taxonomy places the organism in Eukaryota, Metazoa, Chordata, Mammalia, Rodentia, Cricetidae.
ACACUUACCUUUGCAGGCAAGAUACCGAGAUCACGAAGAUGGUUUUCCAAGAGCGAGGUUUAUUGGUUGCAUUCCGGAUGUGCUGGUCCCAAAUGCGAGGAAACUCGACUGCAUAAUCUGUGAUAAUGGGGGACUGCCCCCG